This is a long non-coding RNA of Drosophila albomicans, 679 nucleotides long. RefSeq lists it as uncharacterized. The record is from RefSeq and is a predicted model, not a curated record. NCBI's taxonomy places the organism in Eukaryota, Metazoa, Arthropoda, Insecta, Diptera, Drosophilidae. The transcript is spliced from 2 exons.
AGCAAACUACAAAACUCUAUUAUUUCAGUACAUUAACUUUGGAUUUAUUGUUUAUGGCGAAGCAGCAGAAUCUUGUGUAUUCGUUUGUAUGUAUGUGUGUGUGUGUGACACAAUUUGUCACUCAGUCAAUGGUCACAAACAAAUAAACUUGCCAUAAAAAGCCAGAAAGUUUGUCUCUUUAGUUUAAGAUCGAGCGUAUAGGGUUGCAAGUUAAACAAUCAGAGAAAACCAAUGACUCAGAUACUAUGUCACUAUCCGACUACCUAUGUGCAAUAGAAGGACAAAUUCUUGCCAAACUGUUGACAGAGAAGCUGUGUUUGUGUGUGUUUACUUAAUCGAGAGUAACUAUUAGAGCGGAAAAAUUGUCAAGCUAAAGUUUCGAAUUCGGCAACUCGACAGCAAAAGUUGAAGCAUUACUUUGGGGUGCAAGACUAAUUGAAAGCGCCUGUUGUGCAUAGGCUGCAGGCAUUGUGCCCAUAAUGUGCAUUGUAAGUUAUGCACACGCGGCGUAUGCGCAAUGUAAACCACCAGCAUAAUGAGACAAGCGCCAGUUGCCGCAUCCACGAGUGUGAGUUUCCUGGCGGCCAUUUACACAUACAUGCACACACACAUACUCACGUAUUUAUUUUUUAUUGACUUGUUGGUAUUAGAAAGCAAUUUUAUUUGCAAGGCAAAGAAA